RNAcentral lists this non-coding RNA (188 nucleotides) under Gammaproteobacteria bacterium. RNAcentral describes it as "6S RNA". It matches the Rfam family "6S / SsrS RNA". From Rfam's summary of the family: E. coli 6S RNA was the first non coding RNA to be sequenced, but its function was unknown until recently. It consists of 184 nucleotides that fold into an extended hairpin structure with a large single-stranded internal bulge. The record is from RNAcentral. Lineage: Bacteria; Pseudomonadati; Pseudomonadota; Gammaproteobacteria.
UAUUGACUGCCCCGUGCGUUUGUCAGUCGGGUAUAUCCCUUGAGCCUAAUUUCAUACCCCGGGGAACUUGAUUUGUUGGUGAUGUGUGCAUGUCCGCUACGGGCGGAAAGCCUGAUUUACUAACAUUCUCCCCACCUGAACCCACCGGUUCAAGGUAGCACGCUGACGACGGCGGUGGUGGUUUAUAC